Small nucleolar RNA from Telopea speciosissima, 106 nucleotides. RefSeq annotates it as small nucleolar RNA snoR109. The record is from RefSeq and is a predicted model, not a curated record. The transcript has a single exon. Lineage: Eukaryota; Viridiplantae; Streptophyta; Magnoliopsida; Proteales; Proteaceae.
UGGUUGUAGCUAAAUAAAUCGAUCAAUCUCAGAAGUUGUACUAGCCGAUUGUUGUGAGAUUUUCAUCUCUGUCAACAGAUCUGCUUACCGAACUUCUUCUCCAUUU